Non-coding RNA from Saimiri boliviensis boliviensis (Bolivian squirrel monkey), 2248 nucleotides. The record is from RefSeq and is a predicted model, not a curated record. Lineage: Eukaryota; Metazoa; Chordata; Mammalia; Primates; Cebidae.
GGGGGUGAUGACUUGCUGUCCAGGCAGCUCCCUCCUGCAGACAGAAUGCUCAGGGUCACUGAACCACUGCUUCUCUUUCGAAAGUAGAGCUGGCUGCCACUUUCACGUGGCCUCUGGCGUGUCUCCACCUACACCCUGUGCUCCCCUGCCACACUGAUGGCUCAAGAUAAGGCUGGCAAUCCCUCCCAGAAACCUCUCUGGCCCAGAGCCCUUCUCUCUCCCCACCUCUCAGGGGCCAUGGCCAAGCCAAGCGCUCACAUUGAGCCAGUGAGCCAGCCACAGAGCAACAGAGGGUUUGUUUUCAGUCCCCUCUGUCUGGGUCAGAACCAGAGAGCAUGCUGAAUGCCCCCUGCUUGCUCAGUAAGGCUGCCCCUCCUGAGUCAGUGCUCUCAGCUGGCAGUGCCAAUGCUUGUAGAAGUAGGAGGAAGCAGUCCUCACUGGAAGGGCAAGAACCCAAGUGCCUCACCUCGAAAGGAGGCCCUGUUCCCUGGAGUCAGGGUAGAUUGCAAAGGUUUGGCUGAGACUUGGGAUUUGAGAGAACCACAAAACCUGCUGAACAGAGUGACUGUUCAGCAGACUAACCAGCAUUUCCUACGGCCUAGGGCAGACAAUAGUAUAGAAGUCUGGAAAAAAACAAACAGAACAUGAGUGGUCUUAAAACCUUGGACCACUCCUGUCCCUGUACCUCAGUCAUCAAAGCAGAAGCCUGGCUUUGCUCUAUUAAGAUUGGAAAUGUACACUACCGAACGCUCAGUCCACUGUUGAGCCCCAGUGGUGGAAGGGAGGAGGGUCUUUCUUCCUGUGUUAAUCGAAUAGAGGCUACAGGGGUUAGCCUGGACUAAAGGCAUCCUUGUCUUUUGAGCUAUUCACCUCAGUAGGAAAAGAAUCUAAGGGAAGAUCAAUGUAGUUUAGAUCUGUUGACUUGUGACCCCUUGGAAAUGUCUGCUGGGUACUUCUAAUUCCACAGGUCACCAGAGGCCUGCUUGAUAAUAUAAGAACAAUAAAAAUAACUUUCACUUCUUCCUAUUGUAAUUGUGUGCCAUGGAUCUGAUCUGUACCAUCACCCUUACAUAAGUCUGGGUGGAGACCUCAGGCUGAGGGCCCCAAUAUGUGUGGGUAUGGGUGGGGAUUUGUCUGCUGAGUAAGGAACACUAUUUUCAAGAUUCUAAAGCUCAAUUCAAGUGACACAUUAAUGAGAAACUCAGAUCUGAUCAAGAGUCUAGAUCUCUAACAGUCCUUGCUUUGGGGGUGUGCCGACAACUUACCUGGUGCCUUACACCUUUCUAAUCAGUGUUGCAUAUGAGCCCGCCCUCACUCCCUCUGCAGAGUCCCUUUGCACCUGAGAGCCUACAGAAGUGGCUGGUAGAAAAAGGGGCCUGAACGGAGGAUUGUCAGUAUCACGAAUUGCAGGAUUCCCUUCUGGGCUUCAUUCUGGAGAUUUUUGUUAGGGUUGUUUUUCUUAAGUGCCCACAUUUGAUGGAGGGUGGAAGUAAUUUGAAUGUAUUUGAUUUAUCAUCUUUUUUUUUUUUAGGUUAAAAGAUGGUUGUAGCAUUUAAAAUGGAAUUUUUUCUCUUUGGUUUGGUAGUAUCCUGAGUGUAUUCUCUGUAAGUGUGGCUCAAAUGGGUCAGCAUGAAAGGUUAAAUAAAGCAAGGUGGCAAUGCUAUGCUGGUGGUUAAGGCCAGGGCCUCUCCUACCACUGUGCCACUGACUUGCUACGUGACCCUGGGCAAGUCACUUAACUAUAAUGUGCCUCAGUUUUCCUUCUGUUAAAAUGGGGAUAAUAAUACUGACCUACCUCAAAGGGCAGUUUUGAGGCGUGACUAAUGCUUUUUAUAAAGCAUUUUGGGAUCCUUCAGCACAGGAAUUCUCAAGACCUGAGUAUUUUUUAUAAUAGCAAUGUCCACCAUGAACUUACUGUGUCCAUGUGUCCCGGAUGCUAUCAUUAGUUUUCAUUAGUCUAUAUGGUUCUCCAAGAGAUUGAAUGAAUUGUCCCAUGGUUAAUCUUGAUGAAUUGGAGAAGUAGUAGAUAACUAGCCAGAAGAAAAUUUGAGAAUGCAUAAACUCAUUGCCAUGGAAACAUACGCAGGAUACCUUUUCUUUGAUUGGGUGGGAUUUUUCCCUUUUUAUGUGGGAUAGUAGUUAUUUGUGACAAAAUAAUUUUGGAAUAAUUUCUAUUAAUAUCAACUCUGAAGCUAGUUGUACUGAUCUGAGAUUGUGUUUGUUCAUAAUAAAAGUGAAGUGAAUCUGA